RNAcentral lists this ribosomal RNA (691 nucleotides) under Lysinibacillus parviboronicapiens. RNAcentral's name for it is "bacterial SSU rRNA". It matches the Rfam family "Bacterial small subunit ribosomal RNA", at positions 62 to 734 of the family's 1533-position model. Lineage: Bacteria; Bacillati; Bacillota; Bacilli; Caryophanales; Bacillaceae. The record is from RNAcentral.
UCGAGCGAAUGAUGAGGAAGCUUGCUUUCUCUGAUUUAGCGGCGGACCGGUGAGUAACACGUGGGCAACCUACCUUAUAGUUUGGGAUAACUCCGGGAAACCGGGGCUAAUACCAAAUAAUCUCUUUCACUUCAUGGUGAAAGACUGAAAGACGGUUUUGGCUGUCGCUAUAGGAUGGGCCCGCGGCGCAUUAGCUAGUUGGUGAGGUAACGGCUCACCAAGGCAACGAUGCGUAGCCGACCUGAGAGGGUGAUCGGCCACACUGGGACUGAGACACGGCCCAGACUCCUACGGGAGGCAGCAGUAGGGAAUCUUCCACAAUGGGCGAAAGCCUGAUGGAGCAACGCCGCGUGAGUGAAGAAGGAUUUCGGUUCGUAAAACUCUGUUGUAAGGGAAGAACAAGUACAGUAGUAACUGGCUGUACCUUGACGGUACCUUAUUAGAAAGCCACGGCUAACUACGUGCCAGCAGCCGCGGUAAUACGUAGGUGGCAAGCGUUGUCCGGAAUUAUUGGGCGUAAAGCGCGCGCAGGUGGUUUCUUAAGUCUGAUGUGAAAGCCCACGGCUCAACCGUGGAGGGUCAUUGGAAACUGGGGAACUUGAGUGCAGAAGAGGAUAGUGGAAUUCCAAGUGUAGCGGUGAAAUGCGUAGAGAUUUGGAGGAACACCAGUGGCGAAGGCGACUAUCUGGUC